CUCUCCUUCUCCCACAGGCGUUUAGGUCUGAUGGCUUCCUGAACUGGCAUGUCCUCUCUGACAUGUUCAAAAAGGCGUUUCCUUUCAUUAGAUGGGAGUUACUCCCUCAGGUGCAAGGACUAAGAAGCGCAGCUCCUGAUUCGCAGUGACCAUUCUAUUUAAGACCUAGGACCUAGGCUGGCCCCAGAAGAAGAGGAGGCUAGCGUGGGAAUCCGACGUCCACUCCGUGACAAAUCUCCCUGGGGCUCGGUACCUCCAAUAAAGAGUUUUCCAUUUGAGAA
Molecule: long non-coding RNA, 281 nt
Organism: Acomys russatus (golden spiny mouse)
Lineage: Eukaryota; Metazoa; Chordata; Mammalia; Rodentia; Muridae
Exons: 3
Source: RefSeq, a predicted model, not a curated record